UACGUAGGGUGCAAGCGUUAAUCGGAAUUACUGGGCGUAAAGCGUGCGCAGGCGGCUUUGCAAGACAGAUGUGAAAUCCCCGGGCUCCAACCUGGGAACUGCAUUUGUGACUGCAAGGCUAGAGUACGGUAGAGGGGGAUGGAAUUCCGCGUGUAGCAGUGAAAUGCGUAGAUAUCGGAAGGAACAUCAGUGGCGAAAGCGGCUUCCUGGACCAGUACCGACGGUCAGGCACGAAAGCGUGGGGAGCAAACAGG
This 254-nucleotide ribosomal RNA is filed under the name uncultured bacterium. Its description in RNAcentral is "partial 16S ribosomal RNA". It matches the Rfam family "Bacterial small subunit ribosomal RNA", at positions 524 to 776 of the family's 1533-position model. The record is from RNAcentral.